Molecule: transfer RNA, 71 nt
Filed under: Marmota monax (woodchuck)
Lineage: Eukaryota; Metazoa; Chordata; Mammalia; Rodentia; Sciuridae
Description: tRNA.Ala
Rfam family: tRNA
About the family: Transfer RNA (tRNA) molecules are approximately 80 nucleotides in length. Their secondary structure includes four short double-helical elements and three loops (D, anti-codon, and T loops).
Source: RNAcentral
GGGGUUGUGACUCAGUGGUAGAGCGCUCACCUAGCAUGUGUGAGGCCCUGGGUUCGAUCCUCAGCACCACA